UGUGCACACACCCUAGAAGUGUCCCGAAGGUGAAAUUUUGGAGUGUUGGCCAGGAGGAGGAUACAGUACUGUUGGAGGUCCAUACAGUAUGAUAACAUUUCCCUAGAUGUCAACACCAUCUACCGACCUGCCACACGUAGGAACACCCGUUUCGUACCAACACUUACAGUGUCACACACUGAAGUCACCUUUCAACCCAAUGAUUGACAGUUCCUACAAUAUGAUAAAAAAAAUCAUAUUAUAACCCAAACGUCAUUAAAAACAGAGAGACCUGAACAGUCUGAUGAUGAGAUAAUAACGUCCACAACAACGCUGCUGAAGGACAUGAUGAAGGAGCAACAAAACUGGAGGUCACACUCGGUGGACUGGGACACUUCGGGUCCAAGGUGCUGUACGUGUAUAUAAAAGAAACCAAGGAGC
This is a long non-coding RNA of Homarus americanus (American lobster), 420 nucleotides long. RefSeq lists it as uncharacterized. The record is from RefSeq and is a predicted model, not a curated record. Lineage: Eukaryota; Metazoa; Arthropoda; Malacostraca; Decapoda; Nephropidae. The transcript is spliced from 3 exons.